GAUGAACGCUGGCGGCGUGCCUAAUACAUGCAAGUCGAGCGAACAGACGAGGAGCUUGCUCCUCUGACGUUAGCGGCGGACGGGAGAGUAACACGUGGAUAACCUACCUAUAAGACUGGGAUAACUUCGGGAAACCGGAGCUAAUACCGGAUAAUAUAUUGAACCGCAUGGUUCAAUAGUGAAAGACGGUUUUGCUGUCACUUAUAGAUGGAUCCGCGUCGCAUUAGCUAGUUGUUAAGGUAACGGCUUACCAAGGCAACGAUGCGUAGCCGACCCGAGAGGGUCAUCGCACACACUGGAACUGAGACACGGUCCAGACUCCGACGGGAGGCAGCAGUAGGGAAUCUUACGCAAAGGGCGAAAGCCUGACGGAGCAACGCCGCGUGAGUGAUGAAGGUCUUCUGAUCGUAAAACUCUGUAAGUAGGGAAGAACAAAUGUGUAAGUAACCAUGCACGUCUUGACGGUACCUAAUCAGAAAGCCCCGGCUAACUACGUG
Molecule: ribosomal RNA, 497 nt
Filed under: uncultured bacterium
Lineage: Bacteria
Description: partial 16S ribosomal RNA
Rfam family: Bacterial small subunit ribosomal RNA
Source: RNAcentral